RNAcentral lists this ribosomal RNA (111 nucleotides) under Acanthosepion pharaonis. The record is from RNAcentral. Lineage: Eukaryota; Metazoa; Mollusca; Cephalopoda; Sepiida; Sepiidae.
AGGCCAUAUCACAUUGAAAUGCAGGUUCUCGUACGAGUAUUGAAGUUAAGCAAGCUCGAACCUGGUCAGUAACUGGAUGGGUGACGACUUGGGAAAGCCAGGUGCUGUAAG